AGCGGCGGACGGGUGAGUAACACGUGGGCAACCUGCCCUACAGAUGGGGAUAACUCCGGGAAACCGGGGCUAAUACCGAAUAAUCAGUUUGCCCGCAUGGGCGAACUCUGAAAGACGGUUUCGGCUGUCACUGUAGGAUGGGCCCGCGGCGCAUUAGCUAGUUGGUGGGGUAAUGGCCUACCAAGGCAACGAUGCGUAGCCGACCUGAGAGGGUGAUCGGCCACACUGGGACUGAGACACGGCCCAGACUCCUACGGGAGGCAGCAGUAGGGAAUCUUCCACAAUGGACGAAAGUCUGAUGGAGCAAUGCCGCGUGAGCGAAGAAGGUUUUCGGAUCGUAAAGCUCUGUUGUAAGGGAAGAACACGUACGGGAGUAACUGCCCGUGCCAUGACGGUACCUUAUUAGAAAGCCACGGCUAACUACGUGCCAGCAGCCGCGGUAAUACGUAGGUGGCAAGCGUUGUCCGGAAUUAUUGGGCGUAAAGCGCGCGCAGGCGGUUCUUUAAGUCUGAUGU
RNAcentral lists this ribosomal RNA (515 nucleotides) under Sporosarcina globispora. Its description in RNAcentral is "bacterial SSU rRNA". It matches the Rfam family "Bacterial small subunit ribosomal RNA", at positions 94 to 595 of the family's 1533-position model. The record is from RNAcentral. Lineage: Bacteria; Bacillati; Bacillota; Bacilli; Caryophanales; Caryophanaceae.